AUGGCUCUCGGGUGACGAGCGGCGGACGGGUGAGUAAUGUCUGGGAAACUGCCUGAUGGAGGGGGAUAACUACUGGAAACGGUAGCUAAUACCGCAUAACGUCGCAAGACCAAAGUGGGGGACCUUCGGGCCUCAUGCCAUCAGAUGUGCCCAGAUGGGAUUAGCUAGUAGGUGGGGUAACGGCUCACCUAGGCGACGAUCCCUAGCUGGUCUGAGAGGAUGACCAGCCACACUGGAACUGAGACACGGUCCAGACUCCUACGGGAGGCAGCAGUGGGGAAUAUUGCACAAUGGGCGCAAGCCUGAUGCAGCCAUGCCGCGUGUGUGAAGAAGGCCUUCGGGUUGUAAAGCACUUUCAGCGGGGAGGAAGGCGUUAAGGUUAAUAACCUUGGCGAUUGACGUUACCCGCAGAAGAAGCACCGGCUAACUCCGUGCCAGCAGCCGCGGUAAUACGGAGGGUGCAAGCGUUAAUCGGAAUUACUGGGCGUAAAGCGCACGCAGGCGGUCUGUCAAGUCGGAUGUGAAAUCCCCGGGCUCAACCUGGGAACUGCAUUCGAAACUGGCAGGCUAGAGUCUUGUAGAGGGGGGUAGAAUUCCAGGUGUAGCGGUGAAAUGCGUAGAGAUCUGGAGGAAUACCGGUGGCGAAGGCGGCCCCCUGGACAAAGACUGACGCUCAGGUGCGAAAGCGUGGGGAGCAAACAGGAUUAGAUACCCUGGUAGUCCACGCCGUAAACGAUGUCGAUUUGGAGGUUGUGCCCUUGAGGCGUGGCUUCCGGAGCUAACGCGUUAAAUCGACCGCCUGGGGAGUACGGCCGCAAGGUUAAAACUCAAAUGAAUUGACGGGGGCCCGCACAAGCGGUGGAGCAUGUGGUUUAAUUCGAUGCAACGCGAAGAACCUUACCUGGUCUUGACAUCCACAGAACUUUCCAGAGAUGGAUUGGUGCCUUCGGGAACUGUGAGACAGGUGCUGCAUGGCUGUCGUCAGCUCGUGUUGUGAAAUGUUGGGUUAAGUCCCGCAACGAGCGCAACCCUUAUCCUUUGUUGCCAGCGGUUAGGCCGGGAACUCAAAGGAGACUGCCAGUGAUAAACUGGAGGAAGGUGGGGAUGACGUCAAGUCAUCAUGGCCCUUACGACCAGGGCUACACACGUGCUACAAUGGCAUAUACAAAGAGAAGCGACCUCGCGAGAGCAAGCGGACCUCAUAAAGUAUGUCGUAGUCCGGAUUGGAGUCUGCAACUCGACUCCAUGAAGUCGGAAUCGCUAGUAAUCGUAGAUCAGAAUGCUACGGUGAAUACGUUCCCGGGCCUUGUACACACCGCCCGUCACACCAUGGGAGUGGGUUGCAAAAGAAGU
RNAcentral lists this ribosomal RNA (1353 nucleotides) under Klebsiella pneumoniae. RNAcentral describes it as "bacterial SSU rRNA". It matches the Rfam family "Bacterial small subunit ribosomal RNA", at positions 77 to 1427 of the family's 1533-position model. Lineage: Bacteria; Pseudomonadati; Pseudomonadota; Gammaproteobacteria; Enterobacterales; Enterobacteriaceae. The record is from RNAcentral.